This 427-nucleotide ribosomal RNA is filed under the name uncultured bacterium. RNAcentral describes it as "bacterial SSU rRNA". It matches the Rfam family "Bacterial small subunit ribosomal RNA", at positions 355 to 774 of the family's 1533-position model. The record is from RNAcentral.
UGGGGAAUUUUGGACAAUGGACGCAAGUCUGAUCCAGCCAUGCCGCGUGCGGGAUGAAGGCCUUCGGGUUGUAAACUGCUUUUGUACGGAACGAAACGGCUCUGGUUAAUACCUGGGGCUAAUGACGGUACCGUAAGAAUAAGCACCGGCUAACUACGUGCCAGCAGCCGCGGUAAUACGUAGGGUGCGAGCGUUAAUCGGAAUUACUGGGCGUAAAGCGUGCGCAGGCGGUGAUGUAAGACAGAUGUGAAAUCCCCGGGCUCAACCUGGGACCUGCAUUUGUGACUGUAUAGCUAGAGUACGGUAGAGGGGGAUGGAAUUCCGCGUGUAGCAGUGAAAUGCGUAGAUAUGCGGAGGAACACCGAUGGCGAAGGCAAUCCCCUGGACCUGUACUGACGCUCAUGCACGAAAGCGUGGGGAGCAAACA